UACGUAGGGAGCAAGCGUUGUCCGGAAUCAUUGGGCGUAAAGCGCGCGUAGGCGGCCCGGUAAGUCCGUUGUGAAAGUCAAAGGCUCAACCUUUGAAUGCCGAUGGAUACUGCCGGGCUCGAGUCCGGAAGAGGCGAGUGGAAUUCCUGGUGUAGCGGUGGAAUGCGCAGAUAUCAGGAGGAACACCAAUAGCGAAGGCAGCUCGCUGGGACGGUACUGACGCUAAGGCGCGAAAGCGUGGGGAGCAAACAGG
RNAcentral lists this ribosomal RNA (253 nucleotides) under uncultured bacterium. RNAcentral's name for it is "partial 16S ribosomal RNA". It matches the Rfam family "Bacterial small subunit ribosomal RNA", at positions 524 to 776 of the family's 1533-position model. The record is from RNAcentral.